UACGUAGGGGGCAAGCGUUGUCCGGAGUUACUGGGCGUAAAGCGCACGCAGGCGGUCUCUUAAGUUUGGAGUGACAGUUGGUGGCUUAACUGCCAAAGUGCUUCGAAAACUGAGAGACUUGAGGGCUUCAGAGGGACACGGAAUUCCGGGUGGAGUGGUGAAAUGCGUAGAGAUCCGGAGGAACACCAAAGGCGAAGGCAGUGUCCUGGGGAGUACCUGACGCUCAGGUGCGGAAAGCCAGGGGAGGACGAACGGG
This 256-nucleotide ribosomal RNA is filed under the name uncultured bacterium. RNAcentral describes it as "partial 16S ribosomal RNA". It matches the Rfam family "Bacterial small subunit ribosomal RNA", at positions 524 to 776 of the family's 1533-position model. The record is from RNAcentral.